UACGUAGGAGGCAAGCGUUGUCCGGAAUCAUUGGGCGUAAAGAGCGCGUAGGCGGUCCGGUAAGUCCGCUCUGAAAGUCCGGGGCUCAACCCCGGGAGGCGGGCGGAUACUGUCGGGCUAGAGUCCGGAAGAGGCGAGUGGAAUUCCUGGUGUAGCGGUGAAAUGCGCAGAUAUCAGGAGGAACACCAAUGGCGAAGGCAGCUCGCUGGGACGGUACUGACGCUGAGGCGCGAAAGCCAGGGGAGCAAACGGG
This 253-nucleotide ribosomal RNA is filed under the name uncultured bacterium. RNAcentral describes it as "partial 16S ribosomal RNA". It matches the Rfam family "Bacterial small subunit ribosomal RNA", at positions 524 to 776 of the family's 1533-position model. The record is from RNAcentral.